CUACGGGAGGCAGCAGUGGGGAAUAUUGCACAAUGGGGGAAACCCUGAUGCAGCAACGCCGCGUGAGCGAUGAAGGCCUUCGGGUUGUAAAGCUCUGUCUUUGGGGACGAAAAAUGACGGUACCCAAGGAGGAAGCCACGGCUAACUACGUGCCAGCAGCCGCGGUAAUACGUAGGUGGCAAGCGUUGUCCGGAAUUACUGGGCGUAAAGAAUGCGUAGGCGGCUUUUUAAGUGGGAUGUGAAAUCCCUGGGCUCAACCCAGGAACUGCAUUCCAAACUGGAAGGCUAGAGUGCGGGAGAGGAAAUUGGUAUUCCCAGUGUAGCGGUGAAAUGCGUAGAGAUUGGGAGGAACACCAGUAGCGAAGGCGAAUUUCUGGAACGUAACUGACGCUGAGGCAUGAAAGCGUGGGGAGCAAACAGGAUUAGAUACCCCUGUAGUCC
RNAcentral lists this ribosomal RNA (441 nucleotides) under uncultured bacterium. RNAcentral describes it as "bacterial SSU rRNA". It matches the Rfam family "Bacterial small subunit ribosomal RNA", at positions 339 to 796 of the family's 1533-position model. The record is from RNAcentral.